This is a non-coding RNA of Dermacentor andersoni, 1318 nucleotides long. NCBI's taxonomy places the organism in Eukaryota, Metazoa, Arthropoda, Arachnida, Ixodida, Ixodidae. The record is from RefSeq and is a predicted model, not a curated record.
UCUGUUCAUUAUCUCAACAAGUUUCCCAGAGAUUCGUUUCAUCAACACAAUACUGCCGCUGCAAUUAUCCGGCCGAGAUAUUGGGUCUAAAAGCACUGCAAUCUGGUGCACAUUUGCCCAACGAGGAUAAGCUGGUUACGCAGAAGACAGCGAAGACCAUGCAGACAUGACGAAAAUAACGGCCAAACAGCGACGAUAACAUUGCAACCUGAAUUGUUGACUAAGGCGACUACAAAUUUUCCACAUUUAGCAGUAGCAAGUAAAGGAACACUACUUUUUAUUCUGGCUAAGAAAGCUGCGCUCGAAGCAUUACUGCAAAAGACGGCUCUAUUGUACACAUCCGAUAACGCAAGACUAUUGUUUGCUACCUCCACUGGGGCAUGAGUUUCGCUCUCUGUGUAGGGGACGGGCAAUGUUGUGCUCUUUGUAUAGCGAAAAAGUUGCAUGCUUUUAAGCUAAACCGCGAAUGCAAGGCUGACGCGCCGCGCUGGAACCUGUUUCGGUUAAGCCUUCACGGCCGCGACGUCCAGCGUAACGGCCGGUACAGUAGUUACAAAUUUUUCAAUAACUGGGAAAGACGAGGCAGUGUUAAAACUAGGGCAGGUCAUAAACGGAGCUCACAACGCACGCUCUGUACACGGUUAUACGCUCCUGUACACGGUUAUAAAGGGUGAACAGCUCUAAGUGCUACGAAAUCGCUCUAAAUUGCCUGUGGCAGAUAGCAAAAUUCUUGUCCUUGACAUGGGUUAGAGGCGGCCAUUACUAGCAUGAGAAAUUGAAGUACAUAUUUAGUAAAUAAAAACAACACAAAAUCUUGCUCAAUUGCUUAUGGUACAUAUUGAAAUUUACGAAUUGCAGCGGGUGAGAUCGCAAGAGCUACCCACUUGAAAUAAUUGUCCAGGAUGACGCGUUUGAAGAUUAUAUUUCCCAAGGAGUGGAACAAAAUACACUGGAUUUCCAGUUAAGUUUGUGCUUAAAUGCGUAAAAGAGCCUUUUUUUAAAGAAAUAAGUACGCUUUGCAGAGCCACAAGGUACAAUUUGCCAAUUGCAGUAUGUGCCGUGUAGUAAUUAAAUCAAAAGCUCCAAUUCGCGGACUGCGGAUAAAGUAGUAAAAGCUGCAGUGGAAGAACGAAUCUUGUAUUCUACGAGAAGUUGCUAUAAAGAGACGUGCUCUCGGGGCAGCUGCCCCACCAAUGGGUGCAGAUGUCCAGGACCGUUAUCACUUCUCUUUGGAAGAAGGAACUGUUACUGAGAUGGAUACCUGCUUUGCCCCUAUUUCAUGAUCAAUUGAAGAAAAUAAAUAUUUUGGCACUUUGUA